This 363-nucleotide transfer RNA is filed under the name uncultured Microcystis sp. RNAcentral's name for it is "partial 16S-23S ribosomal RNA intergenic spacer". The stretch from base 135 to 208 matches the Rfam family "tRNA". The record is from RNAcentral. Lineage: Bacteria; Bacillati; Cyanobacteriota; Cyanophyceae; Chroococcales; Microcystaceae.
AAGGGAGACCUAAUUCAGGUAGGAGACGAAAAAAAAGUAGUCGCUACCAAGAAUCAAUCCCAAAAGGUCGGAGCGAGGCGAAAUUGGCUUUCAAACUAGGUUCUGGGUUCACACAAGACCUGAAUCAGGAACAAGGGCUAUUAGCUCAGGUGGUUAGAGCGCACCCCUGAUAAGGGUGAGGUCCCUGGUUCGAGUCCAGGAUGGCCCACCUGUACAGGUGGCAAAAAGAAAGAAAAGAAGCGAGGAAUCAGCACCUUAUCUUACUGACAUAGCAAGAGAGGAUGCUGGCUCUGAGUAAAGAGUCCAGAGGAACCUUGAAAACUGCAUAGAGCUAGGUGAAAAAGCCAAAAAAGAAGACCGCAA